RNAcentral lists this long non-coding RNA (361 nucleotides) under Sorghum bicolor (sorghum). RNAcentral describes it as "long non-coding RNA (SBIC_LNC000886)". The record is from RNAcentral. Lineage: Eukaryota; Viridiplantae; Streptophyta; Magnoliopsida; Poales; Poaceae.
GCAAUGAAAUCCCUACCAGAGCCAAAACAUGUCUGAAGUAACCCUUGUGAACAACUUGCAUAUGUAUUGAGUUUGGUCAAAUCAUGUAGAUCAUACUAAGAGUUAUUGUCAUAGUCCUAAGAUCAAGAUCGCACACACCACAUUUCAUGCCACUCCUACACUGGGAGCACGCAACAUCCCAUUCCAUCCCACAAAUAUAGAUGCUCCAUAUGGUCAAUAGUAUAGAAUCUCUCUCUAAGAGUUAAGUAUAGACGAGACACAAAAGCAGAGGCUAAAAAAAUAAAAAAAUGCUAGCCUUGUCUCAUAGAAAUAAAGAAAUAGAGAGAGCAAAGUCAAUAAAGGAGCUAUCUAUUCAUCACGC